CCUACGGGGGGCAGCAGUGAGGAAUAUUGGUCAAUGGUCGGGAGACUGAACCAGCCAAGCAGCGUGAAGGAGGACGGUACAGCGGAUCGUAAACCUCUUUUGUCAGGGAACAAAGACUGGGACGCGUCCCCGGAUGAAUGUACCUGAAGAAAAAGCAUAGGCUAACUCCGUGCAAGCAGCCGCGGUAAUACGGAGGGGGAGAGCGUUGUCCGGAAUGAGUGGGGGUAAAGGGAGUGUAGUCGGCUCUUUAAGUUAUAUGUGAAAUCUGGCGGCUGAACCGUGGAAGUGCGUAUAAAACAGGGGAGCUGGAGUGCAGGAGAGGUGAGCGGAAUUCCUAGUGUAGCGGUGGAAUGCGUAGAUAUUAGGAAGAACACCGGUGGCGAAGGCGGCCUACUGGACUGUAACUGACGUUGAGGCUCGAAAGCGUGGGGAGCAAACAGGAUUAGAUACCCUUGUAGUC
Molecule: ribosomal RNA, 460 nt
Filed under: uncultured bacterium
Lineage: Bacteria
Description: partial 16S ribosomal RNA
Rfam family: Bacterial small subunit ribosomal RNA
Source: RNAcentral